GCGGAUGUGGUGGAAUUGGUAGACACGCCACCUUGAGGGGGUGGUGCUUUCGGGCGUGGGGGUUCAAGUCCCCCCAUCCGCACCA
RNAcentral lists this transfer RNA (85 nucleotides) under Pseudoalteromonas sp. Its description in RNAcentral is "tRNA-Leu". It matches the Rfam family "tRNA". From Rfam's summary of the family: Transfer RNA (tRNA) molecules are approximately 80 nucleotides in length. Their secondary structure includes four short double-helical elements and three loops (D, anti-codon, and T loops). The record is from RNAcentral. RNAcentral also lists the same sequence under 39 other names. Lineage: Bacteria; Pseudomonadati; Pseudomonadota; Gammaproteobacteria; Alteromonadales; Pseudoalteromonadaceae.